Zootermopsis nevadensis is the source of this 2607-nucleotide non-coding RNA. NCBI's taxonomy places the organism in Eukaryota, Metazoa, Arthropoda, Insecta, Blattodea, Termopsidae. The record is from RefSeq and is a predicted model, not a curated record.
AUUGGUUCAGUUCAACAUCCUGUGCCAGAUAAUCACAGUUCAGGAACCAUAACCAAGACUUUGUAAGGGCAGCUUGAUCCUGAAUCACAGUGAAACACAACCUGAUUACCCUGUACCAUCUAAGCCUGGAAUACAACAAAAUUCCAUCAUAUUUAUUUUGGUGCUCGACAUAUUCCCGACAUGGCAAGGAAACUACUUGUUUUGUCAGAAAUACUGACAACUCACACCACUUUCCACAAGACGUGAGAGAACUACCUCAGUGAAAGAUUAGCAUAAAUACUGAUGUACAUAGCUGAAAUUAGGAUAGCAUAAAAUUGUAUUCAUAAGUUAAAUUUAUUUAUUUUCUGGCAUUUCAGUUUGUUGUGUGAAACUCUGACUUCAUUAUAAUAAAACUCUAACCCAGAAAUGAACACUUUUCCUUCUUGUAUUUGAGACUGACAACAGGAAACAUCAAUUUUAAAAUGAAACUAAGAUUUCAUUUGGAUGUGUUCUUUGCUGCAUGCAUAAAGUGGAGAACUUACAUAUUGUCGUUGCAUAGCCCCAAGAGGGUUCACCAUCCUGGUUGCCAGUGUAGACAUCAGCCUCUAUCAUACAGUUUUUUUAUCAUGGACACCUGUUUUCAGUCCCAAUUAAUGGUUGAAGUGGCACUGGAGCUAGUUUCCCUCAAAAUUCCUCCCAUGCACAUUACCAUGCCACAAUUUCUUCAUUACCAGCUGUAACUUCACCAUGAGGCAUGUAAUACAUUCGACCAAGCAGCACAUUAUCAUGCCGCCAAUCCCAAAUUAGGGGUUACAUCUCUGACAGGCACUUGACUGGUCUCUGAAUAAAGGCAGUUUAUGUGUGAGUGUCUUUUAUAGCAACAUUUUCAGUGUCGGACCCCAUGUCCAGUAUUCCGAAAUUCGGAAGGAUCUAAAAUCCAUAUUUUUUCCCGGUGAACUUUUGCGGCAGUAUUUUAUUAGUUUUACGCGUUUAAAACUAGUGCUUCGUGGUUCCUCGAUUCACUACCACGUGUGAGUGGCGCCAUUGUCGGCGGUCUUCUUACCGUAAAGAUUGUGGUGACAGGGAAACAGCGGGAGAGUUGUAAGUUAGUGUGGUGUCAUCCCGACGGAAAAUGAGUGAUAGGCUGUUGGAACAACGCACUAACAUCAAGUUUUGUGCAAAAUUGGGCAAAAGCGCUAGUGAAACUGUACAGAUGUUAACAGAGGUUUAUGGUGUGGAUGCUAUGAAAUAGUCGAGUGUCUUUGAGUGGCAUGAAAGGUUUAAAGAGGGUAGGGAAGACUUGGAAGACAACGAAAGAACUGGAUGUCCGAGAACUCGCUGAAAAUGUGGAAAAAGUGCGGACAUUGGUUCGUUCUGACAGACGAUUAAGUGUACGAAUGAUGGCAGAAGAACUAAAAUUAGAUAGAGAAACUGUGAGGAAGAUUUUGAGUGGAGAUUUGGGAUUGAGGAAAUGGAAAUAGAAAAAAAAAUUCAUAAAUAUCUGCCAAACUGAAGUUUUCUGAAAAUAGUGGUCUCAUAAAGUUUGCUAGUGUGUCAUCAAAAGCCUUCAAACCAUACUUUUACGUAAAAUAUUUACAAGCCACAAUAAAGUAUGCAGUGUUGACUUAGUAAUAAAAAAUUUUUUUAUCAAUUUUUGACAGGUCAGAAAUGUAACCCUAUUUAAUUGUCAUGGUAUUCACUGAAACACACUAUCAAACUAGGUAAUGCAGUUAUAACUGUAGGUAUACUUACAGCAGAAUGUAGCCAGAUACAUAGUAAGCCUCCGUGGACAGUAUUCCCACGGCAACAGUUGUAAUACAAGUAAGUGGUGAUCAAAAAGUCAAGCAACCAUAUUCAAAUAUUUGUUGUUAGCUGCAAUUAAAUACAAUUCUGUUUCAUGUGCAGAACUGUCUUGCGUGUUAGAAUUACAUUAUCCUAUGAGUAAAGUAUAAAUGUUGAAGUUCAGUGUUAUGUAAUUUUAUCCAUUCCUCUUAUAGUGUAUCAUCUUGGAUCCAGAUAUUAUCCAUAGUAAUUUGCACACAUUAUUUUAAGUGCCAGAUCUUCCUUCAAACUAAGAGAUAUAAUCUGUAAUUAUAUGGAACAGUAGGUGUUGCUGUGUCAGCAGUAUGGGACUGAAAUUUCUGUGUUUGGUUUCGACCUUGAAUGCUUAAUUGAGUAGUCAUUUUGUUUCUCGAGGUUGACAUUCUUGAAAAUACUUUGAAGUUCUCCUUAGAGAGGAAAUUGGUAAAAAUGAUGAAUACUUAGAUAUCAGCUGUUAAAAUUGUCCAACAAACAUUGUCACUGAAUAAAACAAAAACAGGUGGUAUAAUAUUAUGUGCAUGUUGUGCAUACAAUAAAGAAUGUGUUAUCAUUGAAGAAGUAGCAAACAGGCAGCAUUAUUUCAAAUUCAAUGACAGUUACAUCCAUAAAAGAAUUCUAGGCUUUCACAGUAGUCUGCAGCUAGUCUUACUUAUGUGAUGGCAUUUUCUUGAAAAUAGAAGUAGAAACUAGAGUCUUCAAAAUGUCAACAAAUCAGUCCCCUACAACAUGUGAAGAAUGGAAACAUUAUUUCAGUUGUAUUUAUUUGGUGAUGGAUCUGUAAGAAAAUAUAGUUUUAUUAACCUUUAA